Molecule: ribosomal RNA, 710 nt
Filed under: Diversispora trimurales
Lineage: Eukaryota; Fungi; Glomeromycota; Glomeromycetes; Diversisporales; Diversisporaceae
Description: eukaryotic LSU rRNA
Rfam family: Eukaryotic large subunit ribosomal RNA
Source: RNAcentral
CUAACAAGGAUUCCCCUAGUAACGGCGAGUGAAGAGGGAAGAGCUCAAAUUUUAAAUCUGCCUUGUUUCAAGGUCGAGUUGUAAUUUGAAGAAGCGUUUUCUUGGGCUCGCGGCCGGUAGAAGUUCUUUGGAACAGGACAUCAUAGAGGGUGACAAUCCCGUCUGCGACCGGUCGUGCGUUCAUCUACGAUACGCUUUCAAAGAGUCGAGUUGUUUGGGAUUGCAGCUCCAAAUGGGUGGUAAACAUCACCUAAGGCUAAAUAUUGGCGAGAGACCGAUAGCGAACAAGUACCGUGAGGGAAAGAUGAAAAGAACUUUGAAAAGAGAGUUAAACAGUACGUGAAAUUGUUGAAAGGGAAACGAUUGAAGUCAGUCGUGCUGGCGCGAAAUCAACCCUCUCGUCGAGAGGUCACAUGGCGUGGCGAGCCUCAAAACCGUCACGAAGCGUGAACUCUUGGCGAAAAGGAGCACUUUCGUGUCCGCUGGUUAACAUCAAUUUCGAACGUCAUAAAAAGGCUGGAGGGAUGUGGCUCCUUCGGGAGUGUUAUAACCUUUAGCGGAAUGUGGUGGUCGGGAUUGAGGAUUGCAACGAAUACCUUUAGGGCUGUUCCACCUGGCUUCUCUUUGGUAUCCUGGUGAAGACAGCUUGCUGACUUUGUUAGGAUUCGCCUUUGAACAGGCUAGAGUGUGAGCAAAUUCGUUAAGGAUGU